GUUCGAACAGACAGGGACAGACAGGGCAUAGAUCCCAAGCCAGGACUCGGCCAUGCCUCGCUUUCCUUCAUCCCACACUGGUCUAGAGGGCGCAGGUGGUCCCCACGAGAUCAUGUGACCUCGGGAAAGCCUUUGCCCUCUCUGUCCUCAGUUGGCCCAUCCAGAGAGUGGCCCGCUCAGAAAGUGAAUACUUGCCUGGGUUUCGUGUGCACCAGAUUCAGCCCUUGGGGGGAGGUAACAUGUGGAUCCUCGCCCUCACUUUAUAGACUGGGAAACUGAGGCCCGCAAAGAUCAAGUCCUCGCCAAGAGUUACAUACGUGGACAGAGUCCUGGAACCCCAGCUCCGCUGCAGAGGAGAGGAGGCUGCAGCCCACAACCUCGGGGUCUGGAGUUUUCUGCGAGCUGGGAGGCAGCAUUGCUGGAGAGGUUGGUCACCCUUCCCCAGUGGCUCCGCCCAGACACCAUUCCCCCCAGCACCCUUGGCCCUCGGUCCCCAGAGCUUCCUGGACUGGGGAGGAGGGGACCGGGAGGGAGAAUGUGGACAGCGCCGCCUGCCGGGUUCUUGCCUCUGGGGGGACUCUCGGUCUGUCUCUGCCGCUUUAUCUCCAUUCUCUUCACCGGGUCUCUGCAUCCCUGUCUCUGUCUCCGCGUGCGAGUCUUUGUCGCUCUCUUCUGUGUCUCCGUCUCUCCUUCUGUCUCUUUGUAUGUGUCUCUCGUUCCCUACGUUUCUCCCUCUUUCUGCCUUUCUCUUUUAGUCUCGCCAUUCUUUGGCUGUCUUUUUGUCUCUUUCUGAGUCUGUCUCUGCCUCUCUCAGUAUCUUUCUGUGCGCCUCUGGCUCUCUGCCUUGAUUGAUGUUUCUCUCCCCUUCUCCUCCGACGAGUCUUUACUCUCCGGUGAGAAGAGGCUGGCCGAGAACGCGCCCAGACCUGCCUCCGCCCCCAGAGCCCCGGGCCGCUGAGGGCCUGCGCCUUUAAGUGCUGGCGGCAGGGGGCGGGGUCUUGUCGGCCCCGCCCUGCCCGCCCCUCCCCGUGACGUCUCUUCCCAGCCCCUCCACCGCCUCCCUCCGCCGCCGCACCAGCCAGCUCUGCUGCGCCCACUCCCCGGCCUCCGCCCGCCGUCCUGCCCGCCGCCCCAUGGCGCCCCAGGCCCUAGUUGUGCGGGGCCGCUAGGACCCUAGGCGUCCCCUUCCCUCCCCCCCUCCCACGGCGCGAACCCGGGUGUCCCCGGCGCCCAGCUUUGGAGCUUCGCGUCCCUGAAGAGAGGGGACCCCCCCCCCCCACCUCGCCGCCCAGUCUCCUGGGACCCGGAGAAAAUGUCUUCGCGGACUGCGCUGGCCCCGGGGCAACGACCGGAACUCGGACACGGACCAGCGCAGGACAAAUGUCAAGAACUCAUGUGCAAGUGUGACCAGGCGGUUGCUUACUGCUUAGCCCAAACCGAGUACACCAUCAAGUACCUCUUCUACCCCCGUUUUCUGUGUGAGAAGGACUCACCCAAAUGUGACUGACUAGCCUGACUUGAAAUGUCUUUUUUGCACAAGGAAAUAAAACUCCUUUUUGC
This 1560-nucleotide long non-coding RNA is filed under the name Sus scrofa (pig). RNAcentral describes it as "lncRNA (ENSSSCG00055028873.1)". The record is from RNAcentral. Lineage: Eukaryota; Metazoa; Chordata; Mammalia; Artiodactyla; Suidae.